Molecule: ribosomal RNA, 519 nt
Filed under: uncultured bacterium
Lineage: Bacteria
Description: bacterial SSU rRNA
Rfam family: Bacterial small subunit ribosomal RNA
Source: RNAcentral
AGAGUUGAUCAUGGCGUCAGGAUGAACGCUAGCGACAGGCUUAACACAUAGCAAGGUCGAGGGGCAUCACGGGAGUAGCAAUACAACUGGUGGCGACCGGCGCACGGGUGAGUAACGCGUAUGCAACCUACCUAUCAGAGGGGAAUAACCGGCGAAAGUCGGACUAAUACCGCAUAAAACAGGGGCACCGCAUGGUGAUAUUUGUUAAAGAAAUUCGCUGAUAGAUGGGCAUGCGUUCCAUUAGGUAGUUGGUGAGGUAACGGCUCACCAAGCCGACGAUGGAUAGGGAACUGAGAGGUUGGUCCCCCACACUGGUACUGAGACACGGACCAGACUCCUACGGGAGGCAGCAGUGAGGAAUAUUGGUCAAUGGGCGGGAGCCUGAACCAGCCAAGUCGCGUGAAGGAAGAAGGAUCUAUGGUUCGUAAACUUCUUUUGCAGGGGAAUAAAGUGCAGGACGUGUCCUGUUUUGUAUGUACCCUGAGAAUAAGGAUCGGCUAACUCCGUGCCAGCAGCGGC